This 497-nucleotide ribosomal RNA is filed under the name uncultured bacterium. RNAcentral's name for it is "partial 16S ribosomal RNA". It matches the Rfam family "Bacterial small subunit ribosomal RNA", at positions 28 to 507 of the family's 1533-position model. The record is from RNAcentral.
GAUGAACGCUGGCGGCGUGCCUAAUACAUGCAAGUCGAGCGACCGGACGAGAAGCUUGCUUCUCUGAUGUUAGCGGCGGACGGGUGAGUAACACGUGGAUAACCUACCUAUAAGACUGGGAUAACUUCGGGAAACCGUAGCUAAUACCGGAUAAUAUUUUGAACCGCAUAGUUCAAAAGUGAAAGACGGUCUUGCUGUCACUUAUAGAUGGAUCCGCGCUGCAUUAGCUAGUUGGUAAGGUAACGGCUUACCAAGGCAACGAUGCAUAGCCGACCUGAGAGGGUGAUCGGCCACACUGGAACUGAGACACGGUCCAGACUCCUACGGGAGGCAGCAGUAGGGAAUCUUCCACAAUGGGCGAAAGCCUGACGGAGCAACGCCGCGUGAGUGAUGAAGGUCUUCGGAUCGUAAAACUCUGUUAUUAGGGAAGAACAGAUGUGUAAGUAACUGUGCACAUCUUGACGGUACCUAAUCAGAAAGCCACGGCUAACUACGUG